RNAcentral lists this ribosomal RNA (253 nucleotides) under uncultured bacterium. RNAcentral's name for it is "partial 16S ribosomal RNA". It matches the Rfam family "Bacterial small subunit ribosomal RNA", at positions 524 to 776 of the family's 1533-position model. The record is from RNAcentral.
GACGUAGGGCGCGAGCGUUGUCCGGAUUUAUUGGGCGUAAAGAGCUCGUAGGCGGCUUGUCGCGUCGUCUGUGAAAACCCGCGGCUCAACGGCGGGCUUGCAGUCGAUACGGGCAGGCUGGAGUUCGGUAGGGGAGACUGGAAUUCCUGGUGUAGCGGUGAAAUGCGCAGAUAUCAGGAGGAACACCGAUGGCGAAGGCAGGUCUCUGGGCCACUACUGACGCUGAGAAGCGAAAGCAUGGGGAGCGAACAGG